This 374-nucleotide ribosomal RNA is filed under the name uncultured organism. RNAcentral's name for it is "bacterial SSU rRNA". It matches the Rfam family "Bacterial small subunit ribosomal RNA", at positions 526 to 896 of the family's 1533-position model. The record is from RNAcentral.
CGGGGGGAGCAAGCGUUGUUCGGAUUUACUGGGCGUAAAGGGCGCGUAGGCGGUCAGCACAAGUCAGUUGUGAAAUCUCCGGGCUUAACUCGGAAAGGUCAACUGAUACUGUGCGACUAGAGUGCGGAAGGGGCAACUGGAAUUCUCGGUGUAGCGGUGAAAUGCGUAGAUAUCGAGAGGAACACCUGCGGCGAAGGCGGGUUGCUGGGCCGACACUGACGCUGAUGCGCGAAAGCCAGGGGAGCGAACGGGAUUAGAUACCCCGGUAGUCCUGGCCUUAAACGAUGGAUGCCUGGUGUCUGGAGUUUUAUAGUCUCCGGGUGCCGUAGCUAACGCGUUAAGCAUCCCGCCUGGGGAGUACGGUCGCAAGACUG